This 427-nucleotide ribosomal RNA is filed under the name uncultured eukaryote. RNAcentral's name for it is "bacterial SSU rRNA". It matches the Rfam family "Eukaryotic small subunit ribosomal RNA", at positions 592 to 1013 of the family's 1831-position model. The record is from RNAcentral.
CAGGAGCGUAUAUUAAAGUUGUUGCAGUUAAAAAGCUCGUAGUUGGAUUUCUGGUAUAAUGCGCCUGGCCCGCGGCGGUUACGCCUGUGAGUGCCGGUGCGCGUUUACCAUCCUUCUAGAAAACGUUUCUGCCCUUCAUUGGGUCGGACUCGCGAUCUAGAUCUUUUUACUUUGAAAAAAUUAGAGUGUUUAAAGCAGGCUUAUGCCGUUGAAUAUAUUAGCAUGGAAUAAUAAGAUAGGACUUUGAGUCUAUUUUGUGGUUUGCGAGUCAAAGUAAUGAUUAAUAGGGACAGUUGGGGGGUAUUCGUAUUUCAUUGUCAGAGGUGAAAUUCUUGGAUUUCUGAAAGACGAACUACUGCGAAAGCAUUUUACCAAGGAUGUUUUCAUUAAUCAAGAACGAAAGUUAGGGGAUCGAAGAUGAUUAGAU